AUUUUGGCUAUUCGAUCGCAACGCAUACGGUGGGCGAAUACAAUUGGCCGAAUAAUACUAAAUGGUAAGCAAUUUGAAAAAUUACUCACAUUUUUGGAAAGGAAUUUUGGGAACAUAUUUUAUGUAAGUCUAUUCUGUAAGUUAUGCAAGUCUAAGUUUACUGUUAAAGAUAUAUAAUUUAUAUAGUUAUUUUGUGAUAGAUAUGAUCUAAAAUUGAUCGUCAUUCAGUAGUCAGUGAUUCUAAUCUCUAGAUAAACAAAUGGCCCGCUGAGAACCAGAAAGCAUAAUGGAUGGUGACUUUAGGUUUUACUUCCAAAUUGUUUUAAACGGAAAAAAAUGAUUAUGCAAUGGAUGAAUAGAGAAAGCUCACUUCCGUUAAGCCCUUAUUUAAGAGUGGCAAUAAAAAUGACGUUAAAAAUUAUAGGCCUAUUUUAAAGUUAUCAACUAUUUCCAAAAUUUUUGAGUUCGUGGCCGAUACGAGGGGUGCCUUUUAUAUAUCGGGAUUAGAGAACAAAAACAAAUUUUAAUCAUCGAAAAUCACUUUAUUGUUUUUCAAAAUAUUCUCCAUGAAGAUCUAUACACUUUUGCAUGCGUUUGAACCAAUUGUCGAAGCACUUUUGCCACUCUGAAUGAGGUAUCUCCGCAACCGCUUCUUCAGGUGUAGAAAAACGUUGACCUCUCAGUUUGUUUUUUACGUACGGGAAUAAAAAGAAGUCAUUCGGUGCCAAGUCAGGACUAUACGGCGGAUGACCCAUUAAUUCGAUGUUUUGGGUGCUCAAAAAUGCAGUUGUUUGAGCCGAUGUGUGAGAGCUCGCAUUGUCCUGGUGAAGAGUGAUCCGUCUUUGGCGAUUGGUUUUCCUAAUUUCUUGGAAGACAACUGGCAAACAAAUGGUUGUGUAACCACUCAUAAUUUACUGUUCUGCGUUGUUCUAGUGGUACGGUUGCGACAUGUCCAGUUUUUCCGAAAAAACAGGCGACCAUUUGCUUGGAAGUGCUUCGUGCGCGAACAACUUUUGUUGGAUUUGGCUCAUCUUGAAGCACCCAUACAGUCGACUGCUGUUUACUUUCGGGCUCAUGCGCGUAAAUCCAUGAUUCAUCACCUGUCACGAUGUCAUACACGUGUUUUGAAGCCCCGCGAUCGUAUUUUUUGAGCAUUUCCUUCGACCAAUCGACACGAGCCUUUUUUUGAGCGAUUGACAAAUUGUGUGGGAUCCAACGCGAACAAAUUUUUUUGACAGUCAAAUGUUUAUGGAAUAUUGAAUGUAUGCUGGUCCCACUAAUGCCUAAGAUUGUCUCAAUCUCACGAUAGGUCGCAUGACGAUCUUGCAAUAUCAGUUCGCGCACAGCAUCAAUGGUUUUCGGAACAACAACUGAUUUUGGACGACCUUUACGAAAUUCGUCUUGGAGUGAACUACGACUACGAUUGAAUUCACCAUACCAUCGAUAAACACUGGUCCUUGAUGGAGCUUCAUCGCCAAAAAAUGAAUUAAGUUCAUCCAUGCAAUGUUGCUGAGUUAAUCCACGUCGAAAGUUGUAAAAAAUAAUCGCACGAAAAUGUUCACGAUUUAAUUCCAUUUUUGGACCGAGAUGAAUCUUUUAAGUUACUGUAAACAACACAAAUAGCGCUGGUAUUUCAAAACGUUCUGAGUGCGUAAAAGCCAAAAAAUGUCAAACUUUGCGAUACAGCUGUCAGUUGCCAGAUUGCAACACCAAAUCCCGAAAUAUAAAAGGCACCCCUCGUACAAAACCGGGCUGUGCGGUUAAAUCUUUAAUUUAACCAAAUCAGCAUGGGUUUGCUGUCAAUAGAUCUACAAUAUAAUCUAGCUGCUAGUGAAUACUGCAUUCAUUCUUUCUCGGCUGGUUCCAGAUUAACUGUAUUUGCACUGUCUUUUCGAAAGUUCCUCCCAGACAAAAUUUCUCCUAGAAUCUUUAUUUAAAAAUAAGCUCAUUUUGGAUCUCAUUCUGCCUUUCUGCAAUGGAUAAACACUUAUUUGUGCAAUAAACGUGUACCGAUGGUAUGUCAUCUACUCCCUUUGUUGCCACCUCUGGUGUUCCACAAGGAAAUAUUUUCAGACCGCUCUUAUUUGUGUUAUUUGUGUCCUAAAUUAUUGCUUUGUGAUGAUGACUUUAUUAUCUUAUCAGUGAUCAAGACUCAAGAAGCUGCGAUCAAUCUUCAAGGCAAUAUGGAUAAGCUUUGUUAUUAUUAUUCAAAUAUUUUACUUCAAAACAUCUAGCAUUGUGUGCACUAAGUACACAAUCUUGGUUUUUUAUGGAGGAGGGGAAGCAUCAAAAGCCUAUGGCUGAAGCCGUGGUGUGGGCCUUGAACUUAACUAAACCCCUCUCAUGCCCUACGGUAUGUCCUCCCGGAAUUGCACCGUUAUAUAGUACAUCAGGAGGCCGUUCUGAAUAUAUGUACAGGGUUUGAUUGAAAAGUAAUGAGCGUUAUUUUUUUCUAAGCAGUUUUAUGAAACCUUUUGACUUAUACAACUAAUAUUCUUCAAAAUAUGACCCGUGAGCGUCAAUACACCGCUGAUAGCGAUUCUUCCGCUGCAGGCAACAUUUUUUAAACUCAACCGCCGGAUUCGCGUUCAAUUCGGCUGUCACAGUUUUUUGGAUCGCCUGUCUCGAUCACUGUUCGUCUUCGACGUCCUCUCGGCCUUCCUUGAACGACUUGUGUCACCAUUUUACCUGGGCACUGGACAGAGAUUGGUCACCGUAAGCCUCCUUGAGUAGCCCAAUGGUUUCGGUACUCGUUUUAUUUAGCUUUACGAAAAAUUUGAUAGAGUAACGUUGUUCCAACGAUCGCUGCAUUUUCGCCACUGCAAAAUCCUAACACACUUUUAAAACAGCUUUCACGCGCGGAGCGAUGUUGACUGCACCGCUGUUGCCAGCGAACUGGGACCGAUUUCUAGUGGAAGCGGAAGGUCCAACGAUCAUUUUCCACCAGCCGAUUCGGUUGAUCGCUUAGCAGACGCUCCGUGCGGGAAGGCUCAUGACUUUUCUAUCAAACCCUGUAUUAUUACGCAAUCGUCUGUUAUUGUAAUUCUUUUCGGUUAAGGAGCUCUUUCUAGCAAUCUACGAGCAUAUGCCGCGUAUUGAAGGUUCUUCAUGAAAUUUGUGGGUACUGCACAUGCCAUUUAACUUUUUCCCCCGUUUUGCUACUUAUAUGGGAUAAGAUUUAACUCAUUUAUGUUUUCACCAAACGCUCUCUCAAUAAUACAAGAAUUUCGCUGACUAAUGAACCGCGGGCAUUGAAACAAGAUAUAGCUCGCCGUUUUUUGUUCCUCGGGCCACUGCGGGCAGUAUGGGUCGCUCUAAAGAUGAAACCUGUGUAGUUUUUAAGCAACCAUGUCCACUAAGAAACUGCGUGAUACAAAUCUCGAUUUCUCCGUAUUUUUUCUGAAUCCCCCUCACAAUUUUUGGAAUCAGUUCAAAGGUCUACCUACCUUUCUCGGAUUGCUUCCACCGUAUCUGCUAUUAUUCAAUUGUUCGCAGCCUUUCUUUUUAUUUAGCCACGUUCGAAGGUUUCUGCCCAAUAGUGUUAUGUAACCUAUACAUCUCAACCGCGAGAAGGUCGAUAGACACCAUGGAUUGCGUCAUCUGAGACAGUGCGAUAGACACUGACCACUUUCAAGGCGCCAAGUCUAUAUGUGGCUCGUAUGUGUUGGAGGUGCGAUGGCUUCGUGUUUGACAGGAUUGGUGCUGCAUACAGAAUCACUGAGCUUGUCACUGUUAAUAGGAGUUUCCGUAUACUUGCGCGAGGGCUGCCAAUACAACGCAUUAGUUUAGAUAAUGCGUCAGUUAUUCUUACGGCUUUUUCACUGACUGACUUUAAAUGAUGAUUAAAAGUAAUUUUCGAGUCAAUGAGUACUCCCACGUAUCUGAUAUAUGCGACCUUAUGUCAUGGUCAGUUAGCGUAAUGAUUAACUCUUCACAUACCCGUCGUGUUGUCAGUUUUUUGAGCUGCAAGCUCUAACUUCACAUUUUCAAGCCAUCUUCUGAUUUUUACAAUUGCAUAGGUGCUCAAGCUUAAGAAUACCGUCAUACAUAGCAUUCCAAAGUGUUGGGCCAAGCACCGAGCCUUGUGGGAUACCGCCAGUUACUCUGUAUGUCUCUAUGCCGUUAUACCUAAGUAUCAUAAAGCAAGAGACUGUUAUCAACUGCUAUGAUUUGUGGCAGGUAUUUCGGCAGCGCGAAACCUCUCAGUGCACGCAUAAUCUGGAGCCAGCUUGCGGAGUUGAACGCAUUUUUUAUGUCUAAGGUAACAACAGCGCAGUAUAGACUCAAAUAAAUAAAGAAAUAAAUAUUAUAUAUAUAUUUUAUAAAGAAAACAAAAUAUAAUCAAAAUUAGUAAAGCUUCACCUUCAUCAUUGCCCAGCGUGAUUGUUAGUGACGUUCCGCAUUCGGUUUGGCAUAGAAGUGAUUCCAUUUCAAGUGUUAGUCAAGUUUUAGUUAUAGUCUUAAGUAUAAUACGGAGUAUCGUUAAAAAUUUGGAGAAAAUUGAAUUAUUUUGAGAUUUAUUCAAAGUUGAAAAUUUUGGUAUAGAGUUUUUUAAAUAUAAAAAAUAUUUUCGGUUCACUUUGAAAUUUUAAUUUUAAUUUUUUAGGACGAAAUAUGUUUUCAAAUUUUUUUUUUUUUUAUUAAAUUUUUUGAUUCAAAAUUUUUGUGGAAAAUAUUUUUCUUUGUAAUUUUUGAAAACCGCCGCCCUUCAGUUGUUUGCUUUUAUAUUUGAAUAGCUGAAACUAUGCUAGCCGCUGAAAGCUUCGUAGUGGAACUCCAAAAUUUUCCGAAUUAUAUUCAAGUGCGUACAGCGAACCAGUGAGAAGUACCGUGGAUGUGCUUAGACGGUGUUCAUACAGCGCAAAUUUUGUUGCUUCAACUCGUAGCUUGUGGAAGGGUAGGAGACUUGAAAAGGAGAGGGGCGCCGAGACCGGUCGAAGUGCUUUGUGUUGUUGUUCUUCCCAAUAUUUCUUUUGGCUGCAUACUAAAAACUGAAACAAUUUUAUGCAACGGAGUUACCGUCUGUGAACUCGACGGAUAAUGCAAAAAGAGAAUUCGCAAAAGUUUCCCUCUAUGAACACGGCCUUACGAGUACUAAUGUUCGUAGCGAUACUUCGAACAAUUUGACUUCGAUCAAAAUGAGCGUAAUAUGUGAAUAUGCUAGCGCUUUGCUCGAGUGGUAUUUUGCUUAGAUUUUUCACUCUUUCGCUGAAAUUUCGUUUGAUCUUGAACGACUAGGAAGCUCUUCCCUGCUUCUCUUCGUUGUACGAAAGACGUUUUCACAGCCGAGGAAAAGAUGAUGAAUGUCGAUUUGUUUUUUUAAGGUCUUCUUAGGUAUAUGAAAUUAUGGAAAAACUGGGACUAUAGUGGAUUUGGCAAGACUAAACUCCCUUUGAUAAGGUCCACAAAAUGAUUGAAAGCUUUACGGCUUCACGUCGGAACAGAUUACAGAAAUUAUCGAUUAAAAAAGUACAAAUUCUACAUGUGGGAGUCGACUAAAAAUAUUUGUAUGUAUAAAACACAAAUGCUUCGCUUUACUAUUUUGAGCUAGAAAAUGUUUGAUUUCUUAUCUGAUUAAUAAUGUUACAAAGUACAAUAUAACACCUACGUUGUGCUUAAUAAAUAAUUCAAAUAUUUACAUUUUCAAAAUAUCUCCUUGUUUGUAUAGACUCUUCUAUUCACAUCUGGUAUUAAUUUGGCUACUCGUUGUUUCAUCUUCCGCAAAUUAGCUGAGCAGAUAAAUUUUGUCACUAAAAUACACCAAAAAUGCGAGAUAGUCAACAUUGAGCGACAAAACGUUGCUGCUAACAAAAACAAAACCAUCAAAAUAUUGUUACGCUGUGUUUAGGCGCAGCCUUCUGACACCGACCAAACUAAACACCAAUUAAACAGCCAAGCGAGUCCCCAACUAGUCUGCGAGUCACAAACAACGCAUGGCGAGCUCAUUAGUAAUUCAUCCGGCACAUAAUAAAGAAUACAGAAUAUUCUGCUUUUGGUGGUGUGUGCCCUUCGCAGUUUAGAGUCAUAAUUAAAAUUUAUGGGUGUGUUAAUGAAAAUUUUCAUUUAAAUUUAUGCGGAAAUCUGAGGGUAUUGCAGAAAGGGAAUUUUUAAAGCAAACAAUCGAAACGAUAGUCCAUUUAAAUACAACAACAAUGCGCCCACAUAGCUUUGCAUGAGCUCAUUGUUCUUGUUGUGAUGAGCUGAUGAGCUGAUAAGCAUUUAAUUGCAUAUUUAAUGGCGCCUAAACUGCAAAGGCCUGGGUGGAAGUUUUACUUUUGCCAAUUUAAAGCAGUUAUGGCGAUUACAAGUAGUUAAUUGCCUCCAAGUGACGAUUACGUGCGCUUGUGGGAAAGUUUUGUAGUAGUUUUUUUGUUCGCAUGCGAAGUUCUUGAUUUUGUAAAGAGCUUUUU
Long non-coding RNA from Anastrepha ludens (Mexican fruit fly), 6410 nucleotides. RefSeq lists it as uncharacterized. Lineage: Eukaryota; Metazoa; Arthropoda; Insecta; Diptera; Tephritidae. The transcript is spliced from 2 exons. The record is from RefSeq and is a predicted model, not a curated record.